Leptobrachium leishanense (Leishan spiny toad) is the source of this 73-nucleotide small nucleolar RNA. Lineage: Eukaryota; Metazoa; Chordata; Amphibia; Anura; Megophryidae. The record is from Ensembl.
AACCAAUGAUGAAAAUGAUUCUGCCAUAUGAAUCCUGAUUUAACCCUUUACCGUUCCACUUUAUUCUGAGGUU